GUCUGCAACAGAUGGGGAGUGGAGAUUCAUUUCUAUAACCACCUUCCAAUAUCCGUCUUAUGUCAAUAUGCAGGCGAGUGGUUCAGUGACCCUUCCACAUUCACACAGCAACAUGGAUGCUACCUGACUGAGGAUCCUGAGUCUUGAGCCCAACUGGGCCUGUCUGGCACUUCCAGAGUGAAAAAAUCCAAGAAUUAGUUUUACAAAACUUGCAGGGGCACCUGAAUGGCUCAGUGGUUGAGCAUCUGCCUUUGGCUCAGAUCGUGAUCCUGGGGUCCUGGGAUCAGGUCUCACAUCAGGCUCCCUGCAUGGAGCCUGCUUCUCCC
Long non-coding RNA from Canis lupus familiaris (dog), 326 nucleotides. RefSeq lists it as uncharacterized. NCBI's taxonomy places the organism in Eukaryota, Metazoa, Chordata, Mammalia, Carnivora, Canidae. The record is from RefSeq and is a predicted model, not a curated record. The transcript has 3 exons.